AUUGAACGCUGGCGGCAUGCCUUACACAUGCAAGUCGAACGGUAACGGGCCUUCGGGUGCCGACGAGUGGCGAACGGGUGAGUAAUGCAUCGGAACGUACCUUUCAGUGGGGGAUAACGUAGCGAAAGUUACGCUAAUACCGCAUAUUCUGUGAGCAGGAAAGCAGGGGAUCGCAAGACCUUGCGCUGAUUGAGCGGCCGAUGUCAGAUUAGCUAGUUGGUGAGGUAAAGGCUCACCAAGGCGACGAUCUGUAGCGGGUCUGAGAGGAUGAUCCGCCACACUGGAACUGAGACACGGUCCAGACUCCUACGGGAGGCAGCAGUGGGGAAUUUUGGACAAUGGGGGCAACCCUGAUCCAGCCAUGCCGCGUGAGUGAAGAAGGCCUCGGUUGGUUAAAGACGUCUUUCGGUCCCGGGAAGGAAAGUACGUAAUGGGCGUAAUACCCUACGUGUCGGAGUGACGGUACCGG
Molecule: ribosomal RNA, 469 nt
Filed under: uncultured bacterium
Lineage: Bacteria
Description: bacterial SSU rRNA
Rfam family: Bacterial small subunit ribosomal RNA
Source: RNAcentral